This 324-nucleotide transfer RNA is filed under the name Solenostoma vulcanicola. Its description in RNAcentral is "partial tRNA-Leu". The stretch from base 1 to 245 matches the Rfam family "Group I catalytic intron", at positions 27 to 253 of the family's 253-position model. From Rfam's summary of the family: Group I catalytic introns are large self-splicing ribozymes. They catalyse their own excision from mRNA, tRNA and rRNA precursors in a wide range of organisms. The core secondary structure consists of 9 paired regions (P1-P9). Lineage: Eukaryota; Viridiplantae; Streptophyta; Jungermanniopsida; Jungermanniales; Solenostomataceae. The record is from RNAcentral.
UCAAGAAAUUAACUAAGUGACUGUUUCCAGAUUCAGGGAACCUAGGUUGAAGAAAAACAUAAUAGGUAAUCCUGAGCCAAAUUUUUAUUACAAAAUAGGUGCAGAGACUCAAAGGGAACUAUCCGAUUAGAAANACUAUAAUANUUGGUAAUCGAUAUAAAUAAUANNNNNNNNUAUAAUUUAUUAUUAUAAAGUUNUGUNAGAUAAGGAUAAAGAUAGAGUCCNUUUUUACACGCUACANUCAGUUAGCAAUGAUNNAAAUCAUUGUAAAAAGAAAAUCCGUUGGCUUUUUAGACCGUGAGGGUUCAAGUCCCUCUACCCCCA